This 71-nucleotide transfer RNA is filed under the name Stegodyphus mimosarum. It matches the Rfam family "tRNA". From Rfam's summary of the family: Transfer RNA (tRNA) molecules are approximately 80 nucleotides in length. Their secondary structure includes four short double-helical elements and three loops (D, anti-codon, and T loops). Further hydrogen bonds mediate the characteristic L-shaped molecular structure. tRNAs have two regions of fundamental functional importance: the anti-codon, which is responsible for specific mRNA codon recognition, and the 3' end, to which the tRNAs corresponding amino acid is attached (by aminoacyl-tRNA synthetases). tRNAs cope with the degeneracy of the genetic code in two manners: having more than one tRNA (with a specific anti-codon) for a particular amino acid; and 'wobble' base-pairing, i.e. permitting non-standard base-pairing at the 3rd anti-codon position. The record is from Rfam by way of RNAcentral. Lineage: Eukaryota; Metazoa; Arthropoda; Arachnida; Araneae; Eresidae.
GUCUUCGUGGUGUAGCGGUAGCACACUCGGCGCGUAUUCGAGAGGUCCAGGUUCGAGUCCCAGCAAGGGCA